This 85-nucleotide transfer RNA is filed under the name Felis catus (domestic cat). It matches the Rfam family "tRNA". Rfam says of the family: Transfer RNA (tRNA) molecules are approximately 80 nucleotides in length. Their secondary structure includes four short double-helical elements and three loops (D, anti-codon, and T loops). The record is from Rfam by way of RNAcentral. Lineage: Eukaryota; Metazoa; Chordata; Mammalia; Carnivora; Felidae. RNAcentral also lists the same sequence under 3 other names.
GCCUGGGUGGCUCAGUUGGUUGAGCAUCUGACUUCAGCUCAGGUCAUGAUCUCGCAGUUUGUGAGUUCGAGCCCCGCAUCAGGCU